This 303-nucleotide ribosomal RNA is filed under the name uncultured prokaryote. Its description in RNAcentral is "bacterial SSU rRNA". It matches the Rfam family "Bacterial small subunit ribosomal RNA", at positions 338 to 635 of the family's 1533-position model. The record is from RNAcentral.
CCUACGGUAGGCAGCAGUGAGGAAUUUUGCGCAAUGGGGGAAACCCUGACGCAGCAACGCCGCGUGGGCGAUGAAGGCCUUCGGGUCGUAAAGCCCUGUCGGCCGGGAAGAACGCUCUUGGUCGAAGGACUGGGGGGUGACGGUACCGCCAGAGGAAGCACCGGCUAACUCCGUGCCAGCAGCCGCGGUAAUCCGGAGGGUGCAAGCGUUAUUCGGAAUUACUGGGCGGAAAGGGCGUGCAGGCGGGAGAGCAAGUCUGAUGUGAAAGCCCGGGGCUUAACCCCGGAAGGGCAUUGGAAACUG